UUUUCUACGGAAUAGCCUCGGGAAACUGAGAGUAAUACCGUAUAAGCCCUUCGGGGGAAAGAUUUAUCGGGAAAGGAUUGGCCCGCGUUAGAUUAGAUAGUUGGUGGGGUAAUGGCCUACCAAGUCUACGAUCUAUAGCUGGUUUUAGAGGAUGAUCAGCAACACUGGGACUGAGACACGGCCCAGACUCCUACGGGAGGCAGCAGUGGGGAAUCUUAGACAAUGGGCGCAAGCCUGAUCUAGCCAUGCCGCGUGUGUGAUGAAGGUCUUAGGAUCGUAAAGCACUUUCGCCAGGGAUGAUAAUGACAGUACCUGGUAAAGAAACCCCGGCUAACUCCGUGCCAGCAGCCGCGGUAAUACGGAGGGGGUUAGCGUUGUUCGGAAUUACUGGGCGUAAAGCGUACGUAGGCGGAUUGGAAAGUUGGGGGUGAAAUCCCAGGGCUCAACCCUGGAACUGCCUCCAAAACUAUCAGUCUAGAGUUCGAGAGAGGUGAGUGGAAU
This 501-nucleotide ribosomal RNA is filed under the name Sulfitobacter sp. WH004. RNAcentral describes it as "bacterial SSU rRNA". It matches the Rfam family "Bacterial small subunit ribosomal RNA", at positions 132 to 667 of the family's 1533-position model. The record is from RNAcentral. Lineage: Bacteria; Pseudomonadati; Pseudomonadota; Alphaproteobacteria; Rhodobacterales; Roseobacteraceae.